UACGUAGGGUGCGAGCGUUAAUCGGAAUUACUGGGCGUAAAGCGUGCGCAGGCGGUCAUGUAAGACAGAUGUGAAAUCCCCGGGCUCAACCUGGGAACUGCAUUUGUGACUGCAUGGCUAGAGUACGGUAGAGGGGGAUGGAAUUCCGCGUGUAGCAGUGAAAUGCGUAGAUAUGCGGAGGAACACCGAUGGCGAAGGCAAUCCCCUGGACCUGUACUGACGCUCAUGCACGAAAGCGUGGGGAGCAAACAGGAUUAGAAACCCGAGUAGUCC
RNAcentral lists this ribosomal RNA (273 nucleotides) under uncultured Delftia sp. RNAcentral describes it as "partial 16S ribosomal RNA". It matches the Rfam family "Bacterial small subunit ribosomal RNA", at positions 524 to 796 of the family's 1533-position model. The record is from RNAcentral. Lineage: Bacteria; Pseudomonadati; Pseudomonadota; Betaproteobacteria; Burkholderiales; Comamonadaceae.